AUAUAUUUGUUUUGAAUAUUUUUAUUGUGUGCAUAAUAUAAAGUCAUACAUCAGAUGAGUUUGUAGUAAAGCAAGUGUUUGCCCACGCAGGGGCUCAGAUAUUAGUUUAACGCUGCACAUACAUUUGGUUGCCUGCGCAGAGGCGGAGUUGUCUUAACUUGCGUUUUUGUUCACAGGUGGUUGCUUUGUGUUUUAUGCUCUUAUGUAUCGUGUUGCCUUAUUAGUUCAAUUAUAGCGUUAAGUAUGUGUUUUAUAUUAACUAGUGUAUGUCAGUGCUGCGUGUUUGCUAGUUGGUAAAUGCACAUUGUCUCCUAUACAGAGGCAAAUUAAUCAGCUUGCUAAGUAGAGUCAGGCGAUAAGCAACAAUCUGCGUUACAGAAACUUUUUUCUACUUUCAUCAUUAGGAGCACAUUUGUUUGCAGUCUGCUGCCUUAAGGGAUAACAGAGCUGUUUGGAUAUCAGGUUUACGGUACUAAGCGGAAAUUAAUCAGCUUGCUAAUUAUAGUCAGACAUUAAGCAACAAUCUAAGCUACAAAAGCUUUUUCAACUGUCAGCAUAAGGAGCAUAUUUGUUUGCAGUCUGCUGCCUUAAUAGAUAAUAGAGCUAUUUGGAUAUCAGGUUUACAGCAAUAAGCGACUGUACCGUCUAUCAUGUGGCAGUCAGUGAUCAAAUAUGCUAUCAAACCGCACUUUCCCCUGGUAAUUCAAAAACAGCAUCAUAUUAGCGAAAUAGAUACGAACUGAAUGCAGCUGUUAAGACACACGUACGAGCUAUCCAUUGAAAACUUAUUCGCAUUAAAACGGCAUUAACUAUAAUCAUGAAUAAAAGCCCCUGAGUAAUCUUUAUAUAUAUCUGGGCUUAUGUGAGGAACUUCUCAAGUGUCCAGAAUUGCACAUGAGCUUGCUUAUAGGUGUGGGGGAGUGUCUUUAACUAUGUGAAUUAGCCCGCGGGUGGUUGUCCCAUAGAAGCCGCAGUAAGUGCCAUAUGAGCAGCGGCUAUGCAGGUGAUAAAACCUAACUGUUUUACGCCCGUGUGGCUCAGGUAUUUAAUCGAAGCAGGUCUUUGCUAUGGGCAAGCUUUAUACAGUUUAGAGUGUAAUAAACAUUAUGUAACCUCAGUGAACAAAUGCCUCAGGGGGCAAUUCUAAGCAAGAAACUAUAUACUUAUUCACAUUAAAACAUCUUAAUUAUCUAAUAGUAUAGACGCUAUAUUACUUAUCAAUCUGAUACCAGCGGUAACUAUUGGUGUAGUAUGUAAGCCAUGUCGUGAAGUUAGGGUCUGAGUAUCUUAUGUUGCAGUUCGGUUAUUAGACAAGCUCUAAUUAACGGCAUUAGGCGUAUGCCCUCCGGGGCUCUUUGGCGUGGGAUGUCGUCCUGUGUGACAGUCCCAGGUCUCACAUGCCUCUGCUACAGCACAGUCCCAGGGUUGCCGAACCUCCUUCCGUCUUCUCCCCGCCUACUCCAGUCCGCUGGCUGCGUCCUCCACUGUGCCGUGGGCACCCAAGGGCUGAGGCCGUCCACUCGACCCCACCACAAAGUCUGUGGCCCGCCCGCCCUCUGCACCUCCCCAACACCGUGUCGUUCCACACAGAGUGUGUUCCCCCAAGUCUCUCCCGCUGUCGGCCUCACUCUUGGGGCCGGUAUACGUAUCUCACGGCCACCGGUCCGCCGGAAGGGCAGCACACUCCUGCCCCACAGGGCUCGCGGCAGCGGGGACAUAGCUCUCCGGGGACCCCCAUACCCGGAUGCCGGGGUACUCACUGCUCCAGCGGGUGCAGGGUAAGCGCGAAGGUUCCAUCCGGCGUCAGCUUCACCUGUGCCUGUAUGAGCAGUUCAUGCCAGACCCCCCUAGCGAGUGCGCUGUUCCGCCUCACCCUCUGGGCCCCCACCAGCUCAUAGUUCUCCUUUGUCAUGGUGCACUUUCUCCAUCUUGUCUGCCUCUUUAGUCCCUAUGGUCCAUUUUCCUGGUGGGCCCCAUCCUGGCAGCCUUUGCCAGUGUAGGGGUGCAGAAUGGUGCUCUCCCCGUGAGGGUCCAAGCCCUCUUGCAACCGAUCUGGGUGCCUCCUCGGGUGAGUGUUUCAGCCCCUCCGCGGGCACCUCUAAUGUUGCUGGCUGGCUGAGUGUCAUGCAGCCGGUGCCAGUGCAGGCGGUCGGCAUCCGGACCGCAUGGGGACCCCCGCUGCGGCCCGUGCCUCCGCCUGGAGGCCGAGAUAUCCCCCGCCGGCCAAAAAAGGGGGGGGGGGCAGGGCCGUGCCCCGGGCCGCAUAUCUCCCCCUGUCGAGGUGUCUAUAGUGGGACGCCACUGUUCUCUGCUCCGCAGCGCCGUGUUGCCUGUAAUGGCCGCCGGUAUUCUGGCACUCUGCCUCGUGUAGGCCGGGCCCGGCCCUCUCUGCUUGCCUGGCUUGCGGUGGGCAUCGUGCAGGUAUCGGGGGUAAGCUGGUGCCGUUCUCUGUUUGAAUCUGGCGGAGUAUAGCAUAGUUAGGCAGUCUGGGGUGAUUGCUUUAGUGCCUUUUUUAUCCGCUUAGUGCAGGAGCUCAUGUUAAUGGCGUCCAUUCGGCCCGGCGGCCCGGCCCCGCCCC
This 2578-nucleotide long non-coding RNA is filed under the name Pelobates cultripes (western spadefoot toad). Lineage: Eukaryota; Metazoa; Chordata; Amphibia; Anura; Pelobatidae. The record is from RNAcentral.